GGCCUCUCGCUAUGGGUCCAGACGGGCAGAGCCCCUGGAAGAGGCUCUUAAAGACUCUUCAUAAUUAGGAAGAAGAUGUUGAUGAUUAAAUGAGAUCCUGGAACCACAAAGUGCUCUUAUUCAUCAGGGAAGGCCUCCUCUCUGCCAGUGGGCGACCUUUCGCACUUGGCUGCUGCUCUGUCUUUCCCCAAUCUCUUUGUGGAAAGGGAAAAAAAAAUCCCAGAACAAUGGGCCUCCGGGAAGCUUCGAUGCACUGGAUGGAACAGAAGGGGGUUUUGUUUCUGGAGAUAAGGAAACUGAGAUAGACUUGGAUGGAGAUGAGAGGCCAUUGAGUCAAAGCCCUUUAUUCUUCAAGCUGAGCAUUAGGAUGUCCAGGAAACAUCUUGGUCUUUGGACUUUGAGAAAGCAAAAGGAGAGAGGUUUGACCAGGACAGAGUAGAAGAAGAAAGAGGUGUGGCAGAUCCUAAGCAUUUAUUAAAC
RNAcentral lists this long non-coding RNA (480 nucleotides) under Sarcophilus harrisii (Tasmanian devil). RNAcentral's name for it is "lncRNA (ENSSHAG00000030134.1)". The record is from RNAcentral. Lineage: Eukaryota; Metazoa; Chordata; Mammalia; Dasyuromorphia; Dasyuridae.